CCUACGGGAGGCAGCAGUGGGGAAUAUUGCACAAUGGGGGAAACCCUGAUGCAGCGACGCCGCGUGAGUGAAGAAGUCUCUCGGUACGUAAAGCUCUAUCAGUAGGGAAGAAAAUGACGGUACCUGACUAAGAAGCCCCGUCUAACUACGUGCCAGCAGCCGCGGUAAUACGUAGGGGGCAAGCGUUAUCCGGAUUUACUGGGUGUAAAGGGAGAGUAGACGGCAGCACAAGUCUGGAGUGAAAUCCCGGGGCUUAAUCCCGGAACUGCUUUGGAAACUGUGCGGCUGGAGUGCAGGAGGGGUAAGCGGAAUUCCUAGUGUAGCGGUGAAAUGCGUAGAUAUUAGGAGGAACACCGAUGGCGAAGGCGGCUUACUGGACUGUAACUGACGUUGAGGCUCGAAAGCGUGGGGAGCAAACAGGAUUAGAUACCCGGGUAGUC
Molecule: ribosomal RNA, 440 nt
Filed under: uncultured bacterium
Lineage: Bacteria
Description: partial 16S ribosomal RNA
Rfam family: Bacterial small subunit ribosomal RNA
Source: RNAcentral